CCAGGGCGUGAAACCGGACAAGCGGCGAGUGAAGCGGUAAAAGCUCAAAUUUGAAAUCUGGUACUUUCAGUGCCCGAGUUGUAAUUUGUAGAAUUUGUCUUUGAUUAGGUCCUUGUCUAUGUUCCUUGGAACAGGACGUCAUAGAGGGUGAGAAUCCCGUUUGGCGAGGAUACCUUUUCUUUGUAAGACUUUUUCGAAGAGUCGAGUUGUUUGGGAAUGCAGCUCAAAGUGGGUGGUAAAUUCCAUCUAAAGCUAAAUAUUGGCGAGAGACCGAUAGCGAACAAGUACAGUGAUGGAAAGAUGAAAAGAACUUUGAAAAGAGAGUGAAAAAGUACGUGAAAUUGUUGAAAGGGAAGGGCAUUUGAUCAGACAUGGUGUUUUUUGCAUGCACUCGCCUCUCGUGGGCUUGGGCCUCUCAAAAAUUUCACUGGGCCAACAUCAAUUCUGGCAGCAGGAUAAAUCAUUAAGAAUGUAGCUACUUCGGUAGUGUUAUAGCUUUUUGGAAUACUGUUAGCCGGGAUUGAGGACUGCGCUUCGGCAAGGAUGUUGGCAUAAUGGUUAAAUGCCGCCCGCUAAAAAAAAAAAAAAAAAAAAA
RNAcentral lists this ribosomal RNA (595 nucleotides) under Hanseniaspora uvarum. Its description in RNAcentral is "partial 26S ribosomal RNA". It matches the Rfam family "Eukaryotic large subunit ribosomal RNA", at positions 66 to 1888 of the family's 3401-position model. The record is from RNAcentral. Lineage: Eukaryota; Fungi; Ascomycota; Saccharomycetes; Saccharomycodales; Saccharomycodaceae.